RNAcentral lists this unclassified non-coding RNA (460 nucleotides) under uncultured Glomus. Its description in RNAcentral is "SSU rRNA". It matches the Rfam family "Eukaryotic small subunit ribosomal RNA", at positions 569 to 1032 of the family's 1831-position model. The record is from RNAcentral. Lineage: Eukaryota; Fungi; Glomeromycota; Glomeromycetes; Glomerales; Glomeraceae.
AGCAGCCGCGGUAAUUCCAGCUCCAAUAGCGUAUAUUAAAGUUGUUGCAGUUAAAAAGCUCGUAGUUGAACUUCGGGAUUUGCCCAUUGGUCAGGCUUAACUGUCUGCACUGGUGUGACGAGUUCCUACCUUCUGAGGAAUCUCCAUGUCAUUCAGUUGGUGUGGGGGGAAAUCAGGACUGUUACUUUGAAAAAUUAGAGUGUUUAAAGCAGGCAUCCGUCUGAAUACAUUAGCAUGGAAUAAUAAAAUAGGACGGUUUGGUUCUAUUUUGUUGGUUUCUAGGAUCACCGUAAUGAUUAAUAGGGAUAGUUGGGGGCAUUAGUAUUCAAUUGUCAGAGGUGAAAUUCUUGGAUUUAUUGAAGACUAACUACUGCGAAAGCAUUUGCCAAGGAUGUUUUCAUUAAUCAAGAACGAAAGUUAGGGGAUCGAAGACGAUCAGAUACCGUCGUAGUCUUAACCA